Molecule: ribosomal RNA, 301 nt
Filed under: uncultured bacterium
Lineage: Bacteria
Description: partial 16S ribosomal RNA
Rfam family: Bacterial small subunit ribosomal RNA
Source: RNAcentral
CAGUAGCCGCGGUAAUACGAAGGGGGCUAGCGUUGUUCGGAAUUACUGGGCGUAAAGCGCACGUAGGCGGACAUUUAAGUCAGGGGUGAAAUCCCGGGGCUCAACCCCGGAACUGCCUUUGAUACUGGGUGUCUAGAGUAUGGAAGAGGUGAGUGGAAUUCCGAGUGUAGAGGUGAAAUUCGUAGAUAUUCGGAGGAACACCAGUGGCGAAGGCGGCUCACUGGUCCAUUACUGACGCUGAGGUGCGAAAGCGUGGGGAGCAAACAGGUUUAGAUACCCGAGUAGUCCCUGUCUCUUAUAC